GACGAACGCUGGCGGCGUGCUUAACACAUGCAAGUCGAACGAAGAGCGAUGGAAGCUUGCUUCUAUCAAUCUUAGUGGCGAACGGGUGAGUAACGCGUAAUCAACCUGCCCUUCAGAGGGGGACAACAGUUGGAAACGACUGCUAAUACCGCAUACGAUCUAAUCUCGGCAUCGAGGAUAGAUGAAAGGUGGCCUCUACAUGUAAGCUAUCACUGAAGGAGGGGAUUGCGUCUGAUUAGCUAGUUGGAGGGGUAACGGCCCACCAAGGCGAUGAUCAGUAGCCGGUCUGAGAGGAUGAACGGCCACAUUGGGACUGAGACACGGCCCAGACUCCUACGGGAGGCAGCAGUGGGGAAUCUUCCGCAAUGGACGAAAGUCUGACGGAGCAACGCCGCGUGAGUGAUGACGGCCUUCGGGUUGUAAAGCUCUGUUAAUCGGGACGAAAGGCCUUCUUGCGAAUAGNGAGAAGGAUGACGNAC
This 479-nucleotide ribosomal RNA is filed under the name uncultured bacterium. RNAcentral's name for it is "bacterial SSU rRNA". It matches the Rfam family "Bacterial small subunit ribosomal RNA", at positions 28 to 477 of the family's 1533-position model. The record is from RNAcentral.